Molecule: long non-coding RNA, 774 nt
Organism: Pezoporus occidentalis (night parrot)
Lineage: Eukaryota; Metazoa; Chordata; Aves; Psittaciformes; Psittacidae
Exons: 2
Source: RefSeq, a predicted model, not a curated record
ACACUGCCAGGGAUGGGGCAGCCACAGCUUCUUUGGCCAACUUGUGCCAGUGUUUUACCACGUUCAGAGCAAGGAAUUUCUUCCUAAUAGCUAAUCUAAAUCUCUCCUUUUUGGCAGGCGGAGCUUAGAAUAAUAGACUGACAUUUUCCUUCCAACCAAACUCUGAGUACAGAUUUAAUGUAAUAAUUUGUUAUAAUCUUGGGUUCCUGACUUCACAUAUUAAAGUGAUAUGCGGCACACAGCCUACACGCUUCCCUAGGCAAUCAAAGCAAGCGUGGAGACUGCCAAGCCAGAAAUGCCACUGUGCAAACAAAUGACUUUUCAACUAACUCAGUGGUUUUAUUUUAGACAAGAAGGAAGUGGAAUCAGAGCUGUCAGGAGUAACAGGUGGAGAAGGCACCCACCAGAGCAUCAGAAAGAUUAUUACUCCUACUCAAAGAUAUUUAAGAAAUCAUUUGGAGUCCCUGUUGUGGUUAUUAGGGGAAGAUCCAACACCAGCCAGUCAACAAGGCCAUGUAAUCCCAAUUCACAGAGCUGACAACUGACAAGCUCCUGGCCUUUGCAUCAGAUAAAAACCUGUGUGGAAGACAGAAAGGGAGUCUGUUGCACUGAUUUCUCAAUGAUAGCUGCUUGAGGUAGGCACCUCUGCAUUUGAGGAAAAUACAAAAGGGACAGGAAAAAUAAGGCCAGCACUUGAAGCAAAAGGGUUUUAUUAGCUUCUGAUAUUUCAACCCUACCUACUUAAGCUGCAGCUAGAAACAACAAACAAACAAA